RNAcentral lists this unclassified non-coding RNA (283 nucleotides) under Hevea brasiliensis (rubber tree). The record is from RNAcentral. Lineage: Eukaryota; Viridiplantae; Streptophyta; Magnoliopsida; Malpighiales; Euphorbiaceae.
UCGCCGUUCUUGACAAAGAACAGCCCCGACGCGUUGUCGGCCUGCAAACGCUUGGCUUCCGCCAGCAGGGAUUCGCUGGAGACCUUGGCGUUCGGCCCGUUGGNUUCGGCCCGUUGUCAUAGGUGACCCUGAGCGCUUCCGCCGCCUUCUUGGCGUUGGCGUAGGUGUUGGCCACUGCGACGACCCAGCCCGUGGUGGUGCCGGUCUUGUCCUCCAGCGUCACCGCCUUGAUGAAGCCCGGCACUUUCUUCGCGCCUGAGUCAUCGACCGAUUUCACCGUCGC